This 512-nucleotide ribosomal RNA is filed under the name uncultured bacterium. RNAcentral describes it as "partial 16S ribosomal RNA". It matches the Rfam family "Bacterial small subunit ribosomal RNA", at positions 28 to 507 of the family's 1533-position model. The record is from RNAcentral.
GAUGAACGCUGGCGGCGUGCCUAAUACAUGCAAGUCGAACGAACCCUCUUUAGGUCUGAGUGCUUGAAAUUAUCGCUAAAGAGAUGAGUGCUUAGUGGGUGAGCCACCCAUGGGCAACGGUCCCCAAAGGGGGGGAUGACACUAGGAAAAAGAAAAUUAUCCCGCACAUGAUUAGUCACCGAAUUAGAACCUUGUAAAAGGUAGCAGUUCGAACGGCUUUGGAUGGGCCAGGGGCUCAUUGGCUAGUUGGUAGGGUAAGGGCUGACUAAGGCAACGAUGCAUAGCCGCAUUGAGAGCGUGAUCGGCCACAUUGGAACUGAGACACGGCCCAAACUCCUACGGGAGGCAGCCGUAGGGAAUCUUCCACAAUGGGCGAAAGCCUGAUGGGGCAACGCCGCGUGGGUGAAGAAGGUCUUCGGAUCGUAAAACCCUGUUGUUAGGGAAGAAAGUGCGUGUGAGUAACUGUGCACAUUUUGACGGUACCUAAGCAGAAAGCCACGGCUAACUACGUG